AAAAAGCAUUUAGAUCAACGUCAGCAUAAAGGAGGCUGGACUGCGAAACAGAACUGUGUGCAAAGGGAAUUUGUUGAAAUAAACAGGUUGCACCCUCUGGGACAGAGAAGCAUGGUCACCUGGGAAGGAGAGAAAAGGGAGCUUGGGUCACUCCAGUAUCAGCAGCCAGCUCAGAAAUGCAGACCUGCACAAAAUAAUACCCGGGCAGCUAUGAGAAUAUCUGCUGCAGCCAAGAGGUCACCCCGCCUUCUCUUUUCAUAUCCAGUGAAGACUGUCGCUCUCCGUGACACCAUGGCUGGAGGCAGUGGAUACACCGUGCCUGCUGCAUCUGAGGGCUGAAAUGCAAGAUUUUCAAAGAUGGAAUCUCGCUCUGUCACCCAGGCUGGAGUACAGUAGUGUGAUCUCGGCUCACCUGCAACCUCCGCCUCCUGGGUUCAAGUGAUUCUUCUGCCUCAGCCUCCUGAGUAGUUGGAACUACAGGUGUGCACCACCAUGCCCAGCUAAUUUUUGUAUUUUUAGUAGACACGGGGUUUCCCCACGUUGGCCAGUCUGGUCUCGAACUGUUGGCCAGGCUGGUCUCGAACUCCUGACCUCAUGAUCUGCCAGCCUUGGCCUCCCAAAAUGCUGGGAUUACAGGUGUGAGCCACUGCGCCCAGCCUAAACCAGUGUCAGUCUUAAGUGAAAAGCACUUGUAUGAUUGAGACUAAGUGAUUUGGGGAUUGGCGAGUAAGCCAAUAUGGGCAGAGUUGAUUGUGAAUAAACCAAUGCCCAAACAACACAUUUCCUCUAAUAUUUCUUCUACUCAAAGAGUUAUAUGCCCAACUUUAUCCUAAGGGCCUUUGUGAAAGUAAAGGUAAUGACUCAUCUGGUAGCUUAAUUUCCUAGUGGGUCAUCAUUUCAAGGGCCCCCAAGACCACCCUCAUGUUUAGUGAUUUGCUAGAAGGAUUCAAAGGACUCAGAAGUAAAUGUAUUCACCCUUACAGUUUGUGAGAGGACACAAAGCAAAACCAGCAAAAGCAAAAUCAGUUACAAAGCAAAAUCAGCACAUGGGGCAAAGCCCAAAGGAAACCAGAUAUAAGCUUCCAGGGUCCUCCCAGUAAAAUGGCACAGGAUGCACUUAACUCCUCCAGCAACAACAUGUGGCAACAUAUGCAAAGUGCUCUCUACUAGAGAAGCUCAUAAGAUUCAGAGCCUACGGUUUUUAUUGGGGACUGGUCAUAGAAACCCUCUGCCUAGCACAUAUAAAAUUUCAGACUUCCAGCAGGACAAUGGUAUUCAGCAUAAACCAUAUUGUUUGUACAGUCAAGGCACAGUAAACCAUCCUUAUCAAUUACAGAAUGGUAGGAGGACUCCUGGAAGCCAAGUUCCCAGAUGCUGGCCGUGGGUCAACCUUGCAAGUAGGCCUUUCUGAGGUCUGCUGUCUCGGGGCUGCUAUGUUAGCUCUUUUUCAUUACAGUCACAGAGAUCCCCCUCUGCAGCUUCUCCAUCACCACCACUGACCUUAGAAUUGUUCUGGAUUCGUUGUAUAAGUUGUGGUCUUGGUGACCCUAUAAAGGAUUGCAGGAUUUCUGGUUCUGUUCAGUUUUGCCAUCUAUACACAAGAAGUUCUCAGACACAUAUGUGUUGAACAAAUGAGCUAUGUUUAAAAAAAGGGGUACUUUAAAAACUGAAAAAAAUACUCCAAAAUAUUAAGAAAGGAUGAUGUUAUUACGUAUAAUUUUUAUUUCUAUUUGUAUAUGCUUUCCAAAUUUUCUAGAAUAAACACAUUCUAUUUUUAUUAUUAGAAAAUAAAUAAAACAAAUAUUAGUUUCCAAUAAAUCUGCUAAACGAUGCUCCUGUAGAUUAGACGCCCAAUCCGCAAGGUUGAGCCAAGAUCCACUGGACAACUUUGACCCCCCAGGGAUAUUUUUAGCCAUAGACAUUCUGAGUGAGGCCCACAUCACAAAGCAUUUGUUUCUUAGGACUCAGACUUAGUGUUACUCCUUUUCAUACAGUCUUCAUAGCUUAAGCUCAUGAAACACGGUGGUCAAUGCUUACAACAAAUUUGCCAACUUAUCAACUAAAAAUAAAAAAUUAGAAGACUCACUGAUUCUUCCUGGUUUCUAGUGGUAAAGGCUACAAACUACGUACGAGUGCCGCAAUCAACUUUUAACCAUCUGCACAGAUAGGAGAAAAUUUUUUAAUUAAAAAUUACUUUCCAAGCCUAUUGUCCUGGGGUUAAUAUUAAUAAUUAGUUUGCAGGAUGAGGCAUUCUAAAAAGAUUCUAGAUAGCAGUACAAAACUAUCCUGCAAAUUUUUAAAUCUGUCAUGAGCAAUGAAAUGGUUUACAUUGUUACCACUUAUUAUAACUUAUGAUAACUAAUCAAGAUUCGACAUUAAUAAAUAACAUAAAUACAUAAGUAAAAUUAUCAGUACCCAGCUACUCUAAAUAAUGUCAACUCUUUCUUUCUGGAUUUCUAGUCAAAUUCACUUUCUUCAUUGCUUCAAAUACUUUACUUCCAAAGAACAGUACAUCUGUACCCAAACAACAUUUUUCACAUACAGAAAAAAAUGCAUUAAAACUUAUAUAUCAAAUCUAGCAGUUAUAUUUCCAACAGAAAUGAGGACAUGCAUGCAAUAAAAAACAUAUACAGGCCGGGCGCAGUAGCUCAUGCCUGUAAUCCCAAUACUUUGGGAGGCCAAGGUGGGUGGAUUGCUUGAGCCCAGGAGUUCAAGACCAGCCUGGGCAAUUUAGUAAAACCCCAUUGCCACUAAAAAUACAAAAAAUUAGCUGGAUGUGGUGGUGCAUGCCUAUAAUCUCAGUUACUCAGGAGUCUGAGGCAUGAGAAUUGCUUGAACCUGGGAGGUGGAGGUUGCAGUGAGCUGAGAUCACACCACUGCACUCUAGCCUGAGCAACAGAAUGAGACUGUCUUGAAACAAACAAACAAAAAAAACACGUACAAAUAUGUUUAUGGAAGCUUUGUUCAUAAUAACCCCAAACUGGGUGCAACCCAAAUGUCCAUCAGCAGCAAAAUGGAUAUAUAAAAUUGUGCUUCGGGAGGCCGAGGCGGGCAGAUCAUGAGGAAAGGAGAUUGAAACCAUCUUGGCUAACACGGUGAAACCCCAUCUCUACCAAAAAUACAAAAAAUUAGCUGGGCAUGGUGGUAUGCGCCUGUAGUCCCAGCUACUCAGGAGGCUGAGGCAGGAGAAUCACUUGAACCCUGGAGGUGGAGGUUGCAGCGAGCCAAGAUCAUGCCACUGCAUUCCAGCCUGGGCAACAGAGCGAGACUCCGUCUCAAAAAAAAAAAAAAAAAAGUGCUAUAUUAAUAUAAUGGAAUACUACAUAAUGAUGAAAACAUAAGAAAUUUGGCAAGAACAUAAAUGAAACUUACAGAUACAAUGUUGAGUAAAUGAAGUCAGACAAAUAGAGACACACUGUAUAAUUCCAUUUAUACAAAGUAUAAAACUGGCAAAAGUAAUCUGCCAUAUUGGAAAUCAGGGUAGCAAUUACCCUUAGGAGAGAGAGUGACAGGAAGCAGGCACAGGAGGGGCUUCUGAGCUGCUCAUAAUGUUCUGUAGCUCAGUCUAGCUAUGGAACAUGAGUCAUCCAUUUGGAGAAAUUAUUUGCGACACAAACUUAAGAUUUCCACACAUUUUAAUAAGUAUGUUUUACUGAUAGAAAAAUAUUACCGUCUCCAAAAAAGAAGGUUUACAAAGAGCUUACACAUAAAAAGACAUCAUUUAUUAAAGUUCUUUUAGU
This 3740-nucleotide long non-coding RNA is filed under the name Pongo abelii (Sumatran orangutan). RNAcentral's name for it is "lincRNA". The record is from RNAcentral. Lineage: Eukaryota; Metazoa; Chordata; Mammalia; Primates; Hominidae.